UUCCUGAGGGUUUGGGGCAUUUUUCCUGCGUUUCUGUUUUUUCCCAUUGACGGCUGCUGUUAUCCCGGUGUUCCCGAGGUUUUUCCCAGGAUUUUUCUCGGUGCUUUUCCAAGGAUUUUUCUCCUUGUUUCCAGAAUUUCUCCCGGUGUUUUUCCCAGGAUUUUUCUCCAUGUUCCCAGGAUUUUUCCCUGGGUUUUUCCCGGUAUUUUUCCCAGUGUUCCCAGGAUUUUCCCCAUGAUUUUUCUCUGUGUUUUUCCCAGGAUUUUUCCCGCUAUUUUCCCCGGUGUUCCUGCUAUUUUUCCCGGUAUUUUCCCUGUUCCUGGUAUUUUUCCCAGUAUUUUUCCCGCUAUUUUCCCUGGUAUUCCCGGUAUUUUCCCCAGUAUUUUCCCCAGUAUUCCCGGUAUUUUUCCUGCUAUUUUCCCUGCUAUUCCUGCUAUUUUUCCCAGUAUUUUCCCCACUAUUCCCACUAUUUUUCCUGGUAUUUUUCCCAGUAUUUUCCCCAGUAUUCCCGGUAUUUUUCCUGCUAUUUUCCCUGCUAUUCCUGCUAUUUUUCCCAGUAUUUUCCCCGCUAUUUCCACUAUUUUUCCCGCUAUUUUUCCCAGUAUUUUCCCCGCUAUUCCCGCUAUUUUUCCCCCUCCGCCGCAGCUGCCGGAAGCGGAGCCGGCGGGGGUUGAGGCCGAAGGCUUCCAGCCUCUUCCCGCUGAACUCCCGCCCCCCCAAACGCACCGUCCCACCCAGGGGGGGCCCCCCCUUCCUCCGGGGACCCCCACCAUUUUUGGGGGACCCCCCUUUGCCUUCCU
Molecule: long non-coding RNA, 800 nt
Filed under: Lonchura striata (white-rumped munia)
Lineage: Eukaryota; Metazoa; Chordata; Aves; Passeriformes; Estrildidae
Description: domestica (Bengalese finch) lncRNA (ENSLSDG00000004035.1)
Source: RNAcentral